This 584-nucleotide ribosomal RNA is filed under the name uncultured bacterium. Its description in RNAcentral is "bacterial SSU rRNA". It matches the Rfam family "Bacterial small subunit ribosomal RNA", at positions 338 to 916 of the family's 1533-position model. The record is from RNAcentral.
CCUACGGGAGGCAGCAGUGGGGAAUUGUUCACAAUGGGCGCAAGCCUGAUGACGCAACGCCGCGUGGAGGAUGAAGGUCUUCGGAUUGUAAACUCCUGUUGCCCGGGACGAAAAGCUCUGACCUAACACGUCGGAGUCUGACGGUACCGGGUGAGGAAGCCCCGGCUAACUCUGUGCCAGCAGCCGCGGUAAUACAGAGGGGGCAAGCGUUGUUCGGAAUUACUGGGCGUAAAGGGCGCGUAGGCGGCCUGUUAAGUCGAACGUGAAAUCCCCGGGCUCAACCCGGGAACUGCGUCCGAAACUGGUAGGCUUGAAUCCGGGAGAGGGAUGUGGAAUUCCAGGUGUAGCGGUGAAAUGCGUAGAUAUCUGGAGGAACAUCGGUGGCGAAGGCGACAUCCUGGACCGGUAUUGACGCUGAGGCGCGGAAGCCAGGGGAGCAAACGGGAUUAGAUACCCUGGUAGUCCACGCCCUAAACGAUGUCAACUGGUUGUUGGGUCUUAACUGACUCAGUAACGAAGCUAACGCGUGAAGUUGACCGCCUGGGGAGUACGGCCGCAAGGUUAAAACUCAAAGGAAUUGACGG